Heterocephalus glaber (naked mole-rat) is the source of this 397-nucleotide long non-coding RNA. NCBI's taxonomy places the organism in Eukaryota, Metazoa, Chordata, Mammalia, Rodentia, Bathyergidae. The record is from Ensembl.
GUACGCUUAUGGGGUAUUCUCAUUGAAAGUUCAAUCAAUUAUGAACCGGAAAAUUCAGAUGUCUGGGGUUUCUUACCAAUAUCGUGCUAUAUUCAAAGAUCAUUUACAUUAAAUUAUUCGAAAAAGGUAAAAGACGAUAAGGGCGACGCGUCCAAAAAACCAGCCAGAAAGAAGAGUUCAAGGUUACUUGAAGCAAAAAACACAGGGACCCGCCCAGAAGGGGCAGUAAGUGGCAGCCAGGUGUACCCCAAUAUGGCUCAUGGUUAGACUGGAUCGAUGGCCUCUGGUGGAUGACCUGCAAAUCCAGCCACACGAGCUUAUUCUGGGAGAUGGCUGCCCAGUCUCCAUCAUGCUGUCUGAGUUCUUUGACUUCAAGUAUCCUUUAUCUUCAUGUGGC